GAUGAAGAACGUAGCGAAAUGCGAUAAGAAAUGCGAAUUGCAGAAUUUCCGUGAGUCAUCGAAUCUUUGAACGCACAUUGCGCCCACUGGUAUUCCGGUGGGCAUGCCUGUUCGAGCGUCAUUAUCCUCCCUCAAACCCCGGGUUUGGUGUUGGACCCAAGUUGUGUGAACAACUGGUCUCAAAGACAAUGACGGCGUCCGUGGGACCCUCGGUGCAACGAGCUUUUAGGAGCACGCGCCGAGUUGCAAGGACCUUCCGGGCCGGUCUCCUUUACUAUUUUACAAGGUUGACCUCGGAUCAGGUAGGAAUACCCGCUGAACUUAAGCAUAUCAAUAAGCGGAGGA
RNAcentral lists this unclassified non-coding RNA (345 nucleotides) under soil metagenome. RNAcentral's name for it is "partial contains 5.8S ribosomal RNA, internal transcribed spacer 2, and large subunit ribosomal RNA". The stretch from base 1 to 121 matches the Rfam family "5.8S ribosomal RNA", at positions 35 to 154 of the family's 154-position model. The record is from RNAcentral.